ACUACACCUCAAAAUGAGGCUCAGAAGCCUUCAAGACUAGAGAGGGAGGACGGACAUGACCUCCUCAGACUUCAUCUUACUGACUACCAUCCGACACGUGAGGAUUCUGCAACUUGUCUUCUGUAGGUUGCUCCCAUGGGCGUCUCUUUCAAACUGCACUUGUAACAUAUUCAGGAAACAUGGAUGUCUCUGAGAAAGUUGUGUUUCGCCAUCAUUUUGAAGUCUCAGGCUGAACCAUCCUGACUUUUCUCAUUUUGUGUGUGUGUGUGAAGACCAGGCUCUGACUGAAACUACGCAUCAUUUCCCCAGGAAAUUGUUUCUUUGGAGGCAGGCUAUCGAACAAGUUGCUUGUUUCGCGUCCAGUGCCUCUCAAUGAAUAUUUCAGGACUAUCAACACAUGCUUAUCAUGAGGAAAUUGCUUGUUUAUGCAGAGCAUGGUGCCGACGCUCCAGAACACAGCUGUUUUUGUCAGAAGUUAGGAGACCGUGAGUGACGUGGAGAAAGGUCCUAGGAACAGGGUUCUAGAACUCCAGAGUGCCUGCCUGGAAAUUUGAAGGGUAUCACGCUGCAUGUCUCAGAGGCUGAGCAUAUCUCGGUGCCUGAGCCGGUCUCUACAGUAAACUUGGGCUGUUCUAGAAAUGUCU
Long non-coding RNA from Lynx canadensis (Canada lynx), 644 nucleotides. RefSeq lists it as uncharacterized. The transcript is spliced from 3 exons. The record is from RefSeq and is a predicted model, not a curated record. NCBI's taxonomy places the organism in Eukaryota, Metazoa, Chordata, Mammalia, Carnivora, Felidae.